GUGCAACACCGAGACUGGAAUUAUAAACUAAUUUUGUAUUUUUAUUGUUCUGCGCCAGCAGUUAUUGUUCAUUUAUAUUUAAUCCAUGUAUUUUGCAGAAUUCUGCCAAAUGUUCUAAGAUGCCAUUCUUAGGACAGGGCUGGAUGUCGCCUGGGCAAAACUGGGUUAAGGCUAAGGAAGAAUGGAAAAAACAGUUCGAUUCCGAAAAUAACAUUGUUGCCGAAUUGAGAAAUUCACAAAAACAAGUGGAUACAUGUCCACAAAGGAAGUACUAAGGAGGUAUGAUGUCUUUUUCUGUGGUCAUGUCAGUGCUGGAGAAAUGCGUGACUUCUGGGAUAACCCUAACUCACAUGCUUCCCACAGUGCCAUGGUUACUGUACGUUGAGAGAAGCUUUCAGCUGCUUGGACAUUUCAAACACCAUCAUGGACUCGAUGGCGAUUUGGUUAUGUAUUGAAGCUGCUGGAACUGAUUGCCAAAACCCAGCUGACCUCCCUGAGUGGAGUGGCUCAGAAGAACUACAUGAACAUUCUGGAGAAACAUGCUGCAGAAAGUGCUGAAGGACCAGCACAGCAUGCGGAACAUCAGGGAGCUCCUCCAGACUCUGUACCUGUCCGUCUGUAGCCUGGUACAGGACGUGGGAAAGUCUGUCCUCAUAGGAAACAUUAACAUCUGGGCUCAGCGUUCGGACACCAUCCAGGACCGGCAACAGCAGCUCCGCUGCAUCCAGAUCCGUUGGGUGAGGGGCGGGGCCUGGGGUGGAUGAGGGGGUGGAGCUUGGUGGAAGGAAGUAGACACCAAAUGCCAGCCAUGUCAGUGGAGUUUACAUGUAGGAUGUAUUUUCGUCUGCCUCGUGUCAGGCUCAAGAUUGGAUUCUGACUUCUAGUUUCCGCCUCUCAUCACGUAUUGGCACAUAUAUUUAGAAAAAUUAAACACAUACAUGGAAAGCUUCAUAAUUGUUUCUGUUUGAAACUGACUCAAACAUAAAGUAAAAGAUAUGUUACCAGUGUCACAGGUUUUAAAUUCUUAAUACUAGUCUUUGGUCCCGUGUUGAGGUAAAGCCUCUCAGUUACAGAUUUGUGUGGCUCAGCCAACAAAAUAUGCACUAACAUCACCCUGGAAGGGAGAUGGGUGGCUGGCUGGACCCCAUCUUAUCCUUGACAGGCAACCACUAUUCUGGUUGUCUGCGCUUCUCGUGUUAGCUGCAUAUGUGGUGCAGUCCUGAUGGAACGACCGCACAGCUGGGCCAGUGUAGAGUCAAAAUGGUGGCUGGCUGCGUGCCCACAUGCUAGUGUACACUCUCUUGAAUUGACGGAGGACAUUGGAGGCCAACAAAUACAAUAUGGCUGUUGAAACUGCGAAGGGUAAAAAAUUAGUGAUAGAAAGUUCUGAAAGUCCACAGCGUUGAAAGGUUUGAAGCUGACUGACCUGCCAGCAUGCAGUGCCUGUCGGGUGGGCAGGACCAGCUCAGUCUGGGUCGGGUGUUUUCUGAGCUCCACAUGCUCACAGAGGACUGCCUCCUAUGGAAGAAUCUGUACCAGUACCACUUCACAGACCGACAGGUACCAGCCCAAACUGAGUCAAACAGGGACAGGGACCCCAUCCCAAACUGUGUCUGAGACAGAGACCCUAGCCUGUACAGUAAACAAGAGCAGCAUCAGCAGCCUCCCACACUCACACAGAGAGGUACAGACAUGCAUGCACAUACCCACACACACAUUCACAUGCACACAUAAGUAAAACCAAGAAAGUGUCAAGCCUUGAAAAUGUAAAGGCUAGAAAAAAAGAGGUUCAAUGCAAGAAUACACUUAACACAUACCUACAAGAAAAUAUGUGUAUGGGCACAGAGUAAUACACAAACACACAAGAGCACGCAAGGAAAUGCACACACAAAAAGCAGUAUCUUGCAUGCUUUUCUGAGUCGUGUUGCGCACAUGCACUCCCACUGGGAGCUGCAACUAUAACCACAAGGGCUUUAGGUUGAAAUGCCGUGAGGGGCUCUGCGGUCAUUUCCAUGGGGCUCAUUUAACAUUAGUUGCAAUGUACAAGCUGAGAUCUUUCAGAUGCAGUAGAUUUCUCCAGCUCUUUUUUGGAGUGUUUCGCAUAUAAAUCGCAGUUUUAUGAGCCACGAACACAUUGCAAAUUGUUGCGUUCAUGUAGAAUCCUCGCGAAUCUCUUUCAAGAAACAAGCCCCUGUACAAUAAAAAUACCCAGCGUGCUUCAACGGUGAAUACACUGUAGCAAGCAGCUAUAUUAAAGAAUGCUGUGUAAAAUAGCAACCCAACCUCACCCCCCAGGCAGCUCAUAAUAAUAAACAUUGUCGUUGUCAUCAGAGGUAUUGAAGAGAAGCUUGACGUGUGCUUGUAUUCCACCGAGCACCAUAAGCAUUUUUUGCUGUUUGAAAGGGUCCAUC
Long non-coding RNA from Anguilla anguilla (European eel), 2411 nucleotides. RefSeq lists it as uncharacterized. The transcript is spliced from 4 exons. The record is from RefSeq and is a predicted model, not a curated record. NCBI's taxonomy places the organism in Eukaryota, Metazoa, Chordata, Actinopteri, Anguilliformes, Anguillidae.